RNAcentral lists this transfer RNA (73 nucleotides) under Chloroflexota bacterium. RNAcentral's name for it is "tRNA-Arg". It matches the Rfam family "tRNA". From Rfam's summary of the family: Transfer RNA (tRNA) molecules are approximately 80 nucleotides in length. Their secondary structure includes four short double-helical elements and three loops (D, anti-codon, and T loops). Lineage: Bacteria; Bacillati; Chloroflexota. The record is from RNAcentral.
GCCCCAGUAGCUCAAUGGAUAGAGCAACCGCCUCCUAAGCGGUAGGCUGAAGGUUCGACUCCUUCCUGGGGCA